Molecule: ribosomal RNA, 599 nt
Filed under: uncultured bacterium
Lineage: Bacteria
Description: bacterial SSU rRNA
Rfam family: Bacterial small subunit ribosomal RNA
Source: RNAcentral
CCAGAACUCCUACGGGAGGCAGCAGUGAGGAAUAUUGGUCAAUGGGUGAGAGCCUGAACCAGCCAAGUCGCGUGAAGGACGACGGUUCUAUGGAUUGUAAACUUCUUUUGUAGAGGAAUAAUGGCAGCUACGUGUAGCUGAGAUGCAUGUACUCUACGAAUAAGUAUCGGCUAACUCCGUGCCAGCAGCCGCGGUAAUACGGAGGAUACGAGCGUUAUCCGGAAUUAUUGGGUUUAAAGGGUGCGUAGGUGGCGUAUUAAGUCAGUGGUGAAAAGCUGCAGCUCAACUGUAGUCUUGCCGUUGAAACUGAUAUGCUAGAGAGGAGACGAGGUAUGCGGAAUGUGUGGUGUAGCGGUGAAGUGCAUAGAUAUCACACAGAACGCCGAUUGCGAAGGCAGCGUACCAGGCUCCGUCUGACACUGAAGCACGAAAGCGUGGGGAUCAAACAGGAUUAGAUACCCUGGUAGUCCACGCAGUAAACGAUGAAUACUAGAUUUUUGCGAUAUAGUGUAAGAGUCUAAGCGAAAGCGAUAAGUAUUCCACCUGGGGAGUACGCCGGCAACGGUGAAACUCAAAGGAAUUGACGGGGCCCGCACAAG